UAUGGAGCUGGACGGGGCUUUGGGGGCCGUCGGAGAGUUCGGCCGCAGCCAGCGGCGCCUCGCCGCCUUCCUGGUGCUGCUGCAGGUGUAUGUAGCCUGCCAGUCCAUGCUUAUUGUGCUAGUGGGGGCUGUACCACAGUAUCAUAUCAACCAAGAAGAAAUUCCAGCCAGCAGAGAUGAGCUUGCCAAGCACACCCAAUUUACAGAUAACUUCACAUCUAUAGUAACUGAGUGGUAUUUAAUCAAACAAGAAGCUUAUAAAGUGAGCCUUGUAUCAUCCUUGUUUUUUGCUGGAUUGCUUAUUGGAAAUAUUGCAUUUGGCCCAUUGUCUGAUAAAUUGGGCAGGAAGCCAGUGUACCUGUCAGGUCUGUUCUUUGAUGUAAUUUUCGGGUAUGCUGCGGCAUUUGCUCCAAGCUAUGAAAUUUUUGCAAUGUCACGCUUUAUUGUUGGGAUUAUGAAUGGUGGAAUGUCUCUGGUGUCUUUUGUCUUGACGCAAGAAUAUGUAGGAAAGUCAUUCUGGUCUUUUACAGGUUCAUUAACAAAUUUGACCUUUGCAGUUGGCAUAGCAGUUUAUGCCUUACUGGGUUACUACAUAAGGCAAUGGCGUUACCUUGCAUUUGUAUCAAAUUGUCCAGGAAUUUUCUUUUUUCUCCUUUCUCUUUUGCUUCCAGAAUCACCCAGAUGGCUGUAUUCCCAGGGGAACACUAUAGAAGCGGAGCGUGUACUACAAUACCUAGCCCUGGGUAAUGGAAAAGAAAGGUUAACUAUAAAAUUAAAACCAUGUGCAGGUACAAUGAAAACAGAUGAAUCAGCACCCAAUGUCCUAAGCCUAGUAAAACACCCAGUCCUUCGGUGGCGAACUGUCAUUUUGAUGUAUAUCUGGUAUGUCUGCAGUCUUGUGUACUAUGGCUUAACAUUGAAUGCUGGUGAAUUAGGAGGAAAUCUUUACCUAAAUGUAGCUCUGUAUGGCCUUGUAGAAGUUCCAGCAUUUCCACUCUGUAUGUUCUUUAUUGAGAAACCCUGGUCUGGAAGACGUAAAACUAUGACUUCUUUUCUAAUAUUUGCAGGAUUUGCCUGUAUAAUCACCAUGCUUUUACCUGAAAAUGCUGGUUUAUUCUUCAGUCCAACUUCAUUAGCAUUGUGUGGAAAAAUGACAGUCAGUGCUGCCUUCAACAUAGUGUAUAUUUAUACUUCAGAACUCUACCCGACAGUAUUAAGAAAUGCUGGCUUGGGUGUCUGUUCAAUGACUUGUAGAUUUGGUGGUAUUUUAGCUCCAUUUGUGCCUUCAAUGAAAUCUCUUAAUCCAUCUGUGCCAUUUGUGGUUUUUGGAAUCAGUGGAUUAUCAGCAGGAUUCUUGACUCUUCUUCUUCCAGAAACUCUAAACAAGCCAAUUGCAGAGAGCAUUGAAGACCUGCAGAUGCCCAAAUACCAAUCUCUAAAAAGCAAAAAGGCAGAGUAAAAGCAUUUUAAUGUAGCUUUUUAUUAAUUUACAUACAUCUGCAGGUCACAAUAUGGUAACUCAAUUAGAAGAAAACACUUAAACUUUCAGAAAACAUCUCUGUAGUGAAAAAUCCAACAUCUUUUGGAUUUUUUUGGAAAGAUACUUUUACAAUUAGUGUGGAACCAUUGUGAGAUACCACAGUGGAGGACAUACCUUAUGCCAAGAGAUAUAAAGUAAAAUAACAUUGCCAGUAUUUUAAACAAUUCAUUUUUAUAUCAAGGUAAACUGAGAAGAUGGAAAAACAGUUGGACAAAAAAUGUGAAAAAGAAAUAGCAAAUCUAUGCAUUGAUUUAAGGACUCUAUAAGCUACACUUUGGAUAUGGAAUAUAUAGUUUUUGAACUGAUGGAAUAUUUUACUCUAUUGUUUUGAUAUAUCUUACUCCAUUUGUAAGAUAUAAUUGUCAGAUGCAAACUAAACUAUAAUGGUGAAUGGAAGUGCCAU
Alligator sinensis (Chinese alligator) is the source of this 1943-nucleotide RNA transcript. It is a transcript of the gene named solute carrier family 22 member 15-like, with no coding region annotated. The transcript is spliced from 12 exons. The record is from RefSeq and is a predicted model, not a curated record. Lineage: Eukaryota; Metazoa; Chordata; Crocodylia; Alligatoridae.